CACAGUCCUGGGGCAAGAGCCUGGCAAGCAGGCUCCUCCAGGAACCCAUGGCGAGGUUAUGUUCGCCACAUGUGCAAUGUUUGUUGCACAGAAUUUCAAUCAUUGGUUGAGAGUAGUCACUGGACCACAAGGGAGUAAACACUCUAAAUUACCUACGUACUCAUAGAAACAUAGAAUGUAACAGCAAAUAAAAGCCCAUCUAGUCUGCC
Molecule: non-coding RNA, 209 nt
Organism: Pelobates cultripes (western spadefoot toad)
Lineage: Eukaryota; Metazoa; Chordata; Amphibia; Anura; Pelobatidae
Source: the annotation of a GenBank genome assembly